UACGCUGGCGGCGUGCCUAAUACAUGCAAGUCGAAUGGUAGCAAUACCAUGGCGAACGGGUGAGUAACACGUAGGUAACCUGUCCUUAAGACGAGGAUAACCAUUGGAAACGAUGGAUAAUACUGGAUAGGAGUGAUUGAGGCAUCUUGAUCACUUUAAAGAUUUAUCACUUGAGGAGGGGCCUGCGGCGCAUUAGCUAGAUGGCGGGGUAAUAGCCCCACCAUGGCGAUGAUGCGUAGCCGGACUGGGAGGUUGAACGGCCACAAUGGAACUGAGAACGGUCCAUACUCCUACGGGAGGCAGCAGUAGGGAAUUUUCGGCAAUGGGCGAAAGCCCUGACCGAGCAACGCCGCGUGAACGAAGAAGUUAUUUCGGUAUGUAAAGUUCUUUUAUUGGGGAAGAAAAAAUCAAAAUUGACGGUACCCAAUGAAUAAGCUCCGGCUAACUACGUGCCAGCCGCUGC
This 463-nucleotide ribosomal RNA is filed under the name uncultured bacterium. Its description in RNAcentral is "bacterial SSU rRNA". It matches the Rfam family "Bacterial small subunit ribosomal RNA", at positions 33 to 518 of the family's 1533-position model. The record is from RNAcentral.